UACGGGGGGGGCAAGCGUUGUUCGGAAUUACUGGGCGUAAAGGGUUUGUAGGGGGCUUGUUAAGUCAGACGUGAAAUCCCUCAGCUUAACUGGGGAACUGCGUCUGAUACUGGCGAGCUUGAGUGCAGGAGAGGAACGCGGAAUUCCAGGUGUAGCGGUGAAAUGCGUAGAUAUCGGGAGGAACACCAGUGGCGAAGGCGACUACCUGGCCUGUUUCUUGACGCUGAGGCGCGAAAGCUAGGGGAGCAAACGGG
RNAcentral lists this ribosomal RNA (254 nucleotides) under uncultured bacterium. Its description in RNAcentral is "partial 16S ribosomal RNA". It matches the Rfam family "Bacterial small subunit ribosomal RNA", at positions 524 to 776 of the family's 1533-position model. The record is from RNAcentral.